AGCUCCAAUAGCGUAUAUUAAAGUUGUUGCAGUUAAAAAGCUCGUAGUCGAAUUUCGGGUACGAUCCAUCGGUCAGCCUUUUAGGCUUGUACCUUUGGGGCGUACCUUACUUUCUGGGGAUCUAGUGUGCUCUUCACUGAGUGUGCUAGCUAUCCAGGACUUUUACUUUGAGAAAAUUAGAGUGUUUAAAGCAGGCAUUUGCUUGAAUACAUUAACAUGGAAUAAUAGAAUAGGACUUUGGUUCUAUUUUGUUGGUUUGGGAACCAAAGUAAUGGUUAAUAGGAAUAGUUGGGGGCACUAGUAUUCCAAAGUCAGAGGUGAAAUUCUUGGAUUUUUGGAAGACUAACAAAUGCGAAGGCAUGUGUCCAGGAUGUUUUCAUUG
RNAcentral lists this ribosomal RNA (382 nucleotides) under Blastocladiales sp. RNAcentral's name for it is "partial small subunit ribosomal RNA". It matches the Rfam family "Eukaryotic small subunit ribosomal RNA", at positions 587 to 975 of the family's 1831-position model. The record is from RNAcentral. Lineage: Eukaryota; Fungi; Blastocladiomycota; Blastocladiomycetes; Blastocladiales.